UACGUAGGCAGCAAGCGUUGUUCGGAAUUACUGGGCGUAAAGAGUAUGUAGGCGGUGCUCUAAGUUUGGUGUGAAAUCUCCCGGCUUAACCGGGAGGGUGCAUCGAAUACUGGGGUGCUUGAGGGUGGGAGAGGUAAGCGGAAUUCCUGGUGUAGCGGUGAAAUGCGUAGAUAUCAGGAGGAACACCUGUGGUGUAGACAGCUUGCUGGACCAUUUCUGACGCUGAGAUACGAAAGCGUGGGUAGCAAACAGG
This 253-nucleotide ribosomal RNA is filed under the name uncultured Acidobacteriota bacterium. RNAcentral describes it as "uncultured Acidobacteria bacterium partial 16S ribosomal RNA". It matches the Rfam family "Bacterial small subunit ribosomal RNA", at positions 524 to 776 of the family's 1533-position model. The record is from RNAcentral. Lineage: Bacteria; Pseudomonadati; Acidobacteriota.